This 484-nucleotide ribosomal RNA is filed under the name uncultured bacterium. RNAcentral describes it as "partial 16S ribosomal RNA". It matches the Rfam family "Bacterial small subunit ribosomal RNA", at positions 30 to 507 of the family's 1533-position model. The record is from RNAcentral.
AUUGAACGCUGGCGGCAGGCCUAACACAUGCAAGUCGAGCGGAAGAAGGGAGCUUGCUUCGGGAUUCAGAGGCGGAAGGGGGAGUAAUGCCCAGGAAUCUGCCUGGUAGUAGGGGGUAACGUCCGGAAACGGGCGCUAAUAACGCAGACGUGCUGAGGGAGAAAGUGGGGGGGGUUGGGAGCUCACGCGAUCAGGGGAGACUAGGUCGGAUUAGCGAGUGGGUGGGGGAAAGGCCUACAAAGGCGACGAUCCGUAACUGGUCUGAGAGGAUGAGCAGUCACACUGGAACUUAGACCCGGUCCAGACUCCUACGGGGGGCAGCAGUGGGGAAUAUUGGACAGUUGGCGAAUGCCUGAUCCAGCCAUGCCGCGUGUGUGAAGAAGGUCUUCGGAUUGUAAAGCACUUUAGGUUGGUAGGAAGGUCAGUAAGUUAAUACCUUGCUUUUUUGACGUUACCAGCAGAAUAAGCACCGGCUAACUUCGUG